Molecule: non-coding RNA, 46 nt
Organism: Schistosoma haematobium
Lineage: Eukaryota; Metazoa; Platyhelminthes; Trematoda; Strigeidida; Schistosomatidae
Source: Rfam
GCACUGGUGAUGUGUCCCACAAUAGGACGAAACGGCCGUCCGGUGU